GGAUUGUGGCUCAGUGGUAGAGCUUUUGCCUAGCACAUGUGAUGCACUGGGUUCGAUCCUCAGCACCA
This 68-nucleotide transfer RNA is filed under the name Marmota monax (woodchuck). Its description in RNAcentral is "tRNA.Undet". The record is from RNAcentral. Lineage: Eukaryota; Metazoa; Chordata; Mammalia; Rodentia; Sciuridae.